RNAcentral lists this long non-coding RNA (373 nucleotides) under Setaria italica (foxtail millet). Its description in RNAcentral is "long non-coding RNA (SITA_LNC001502)". The record is from RNAcentral. Lineage: Eukaryota; Viridiplantae; Streptophyta; Magnoliopsida; Poales; Poaceae.
UUCUUUUUUUUUGAAACAAAUCAGGCAGUAGAGCUGCCGAUUAUAUUAAAAGAAGAAUAAGUCCAGAAUGGACAGAACAACAAACAACAUCAGCUGGUUGGAUUGGGACAUCAACAUAAGCCGCACAACACAAAGCACCACUCAACUCAAUAAGCGUCACUGGCCGGUUGGAUUGGGACGUCAACACGUGCCGCGCAAAGUCUUCGCUCCGCCGAGCUUCUCAACUUCACCACAACUAACCUCAUCACUACUGCAUCAUCGUCAGGCCUCCACUCCACUGAACACCACCACCGUGACACCACUAGCUUUUUUUUCUUUUUUUUUCUUUUUGGGAAGAAAAGAAAGAUGAAAAACGCCUAGCUGACGAUCGCAG